RNAcentral lists this ribosomal RNA (243 nucleotides) under Salmonella enterica subsp. enterica serovar Anatum. RNAcentral describes it as "partial 23S ribosomal RNA". It matches the Rfam family "Bacterial large subunit ribosomal RNA", at positions 1438 to 1681 of the family's 2925-position model. The record is from RNAcentral. Lineage: Bacteria; Pseudomonadati; Pseudomonadota; Gammaproteobacteria; Enterobacterales; Enterobacteriaceae.
CCCGUACUUGGUGUUACUGCGAAGGGGGGACGGAGAAGGCUAUGUUGGCCGGGCGACGGUUGUCCCGGUUUAAGCGUGUAGGUGUGUGUUCCAGGUAAAUCCGGUUCACUUUAACACUGAGGCGUGACGACGAGGCACUACGGUGCUGAAGCAACAAAUGCCCUGCUUCCAGGAAAAGCCUCUAAGCAUCAGGUAACACGAAAUCGUACCCCAAACCGACACAGGUGGUCAGGUAGAGAAUAC